UUUGAACGCUGGGGGGCGGCGUGCUUAACACAUGCAAGUCGAACGGGAUCCAUCAGGCUUUGCUUGGUGGUGAGAGUGGCGAACGGGUGAGUAAUGCGUGACCGACCUGCCCCAUACACCGGAAUAGCUCCUGGAAACGGGUGGUAAUGCCGGAUGCUCCGACUCCUCGCAUGGGGUGUCGGGAAAGAUUUCAUCGGUAUGGGAUGGGGUCGCGUCCUAUCAGGUAGUCGGCGGGGUAACGGCCCACCGAGCCUACGACGGGUAGCCGGCCUGAGAGGGCGACCGGCCACAUUGGGACUGAGAUACGGCCCAGACUCCUACGGGAGGCAGCAGUGGGGAAUAUUGCACAAUGGGCGCAAGCCUGAUGCAGCGACGCCGCGUGCGGGAUGACGGCCUUCGGGUUGUAAACCGCUUUUGAUCGGGAGCAAGCCUUCGGGUGAGUGUACCUUUCGAAUAAGCACCGGCUAACUACGUGCCAGCAGCCGCGGUAAUACGUAGGGUGCAAGCGUUAUCCGGAAUUAUUGGGCGUAAAGGGCUCGUAGGCGGUUCGUCGCGUCCGGUGUGAAAGUCCAUCGCUUAACGGUGGAUCUGCGCCGGGUACGGGCGGGCUGGAGUGCGGUAGGGGAGACUGGAAUUNCCCGGUGUAACGGUGGAAUGUGUAGAUAUCGGGAAGAACACCAAUGGCGAAGGCAGGUCUCUGGGCCGUUACUGACGCUGAGGAGCGAAAGCGUGGAGCG
RNAcentral lists this ribosomal RNA (737 nucleotides) under Bifidobacterium pseudocatenulatum. Its description in RNAcentral is "bacterial SSU rRNA". It matches the Rfam family "Bacterial small subunit ribosomal RNA", at positions 28 to 768 of the family's 1533-position model. Lineage: Bacteria; Bacillati; Actinomycetota; Actinomycetes; Bifidobacteriales; Bifidobacteriaceae. The record is from RNAcentral.